RNAcentral lists this transfer RNA (72 nucleotides) under Toxocara canis (dog roundworm). It matches the Rfam family "tRNA". Rfam says of the family: Transfer RNA (tRNA) molecules are approximately 80 nucleotides in length. Their secondary structure includes four short double-helical elements and three loops (D, anti-codon, and T loops). Lineage: Eukaryota; Metazoa; Nematoda; Chromadorea; Rhabditida; Toxocaridae. The record is from Rfam by way of RNAcentral.
GCAGCAGUAGCUCAGUGGUAGAGCUCCAGCCUCGUACGUGGGAACGCCUGGAUUCAAUUCCCGACUGCUUCC